UCACUUACCUGGACGGGGUCAAUGGGCUAUCAAGAAGGCUCAUGGCCUGGGCCUAGUGACCUCCAUUGCACUUCGGGAGGGGUGCUAGCCCAAGGUCGGUCCAAGUGGCCGAGCCUACGUCAUAAUUUGUGGCAGUGGGGGCCUGCGUUCGCGCGGCCCCUAC
Molecule: non-coding RNA, 163 nt
Organism: Eucalyptus grandis
Lineage: Eukaryota; Viridiplantae; Streptophyta; Magnoliopsida; Myrtales; Myrtaceae
Source: Rfam